This 69-nucleotide transfer RNA is filed under the name Cyphoderus albinus. RNAcentral's name for it is "tRNA-Val". The record is from RNAcentral. Lineage: Eukaryota; Metazoa; Arthropoda; Collembola; Entomobryomorpha; Paronellidae.
CAAAAUAGAGCUUGAUUGGUAAGCUGUUCAUUUACAAUGAAAGGAUCGUUGUCGUUUAAUGUAUUUUGA